Molecule: ribosomal RNA, 253 nt
Filed under: uncultured bacterium
Lineage: Bacteria
Description: partial 16S ribosomal RNA
Rfam family: Bacterial small subunit ribosomal RNA
Source: RNAcentral
GACGUAGGGCGCGAGCGUUGUCCGGAUUUAUUGGGCGUAAAGAGCUCGUAGGCGGCUUGUCGCGUCGUCUGUGAAAUCCCGCGGCUCAACCGCGGGUCUGCAGUCGAUACGGGCAGGCUAGAGUGUGGUAGGGGAGACUGGAAUUCCUGGUGUAGCGGUGAAAUGCGCAGAUAUCAGGAGGAACACCGAUGGCGAAGGCAGGUCUCUGGGCCACUACUGACGCUGAGAAGCGAAAGCAUGGGGAGCGAACAGG